UACAGAGGGUGCAAGCGUUAAUCGGAGUUACUGGGCGUAAAGGGCACGUAGGCGGUUAUGUAAGUCAGUUGUGAAAUCCCCGGGCUUAACCUGGGAACUGCAAUUGAUACUGUGUGACUAGAGUCGAAGAGAGGGAAGCGGAAUUUCCGGUGUAGCGGUGAAAUGCGUAGAUAUCGGAAGGAACAUCUGUGGCGAAGGCGGCUUCCUGGCUUCAGACUGACGCUGAGGUGCGAAAGCGUGGGUAGCGAACAGGAUUAGAUACCCUGGUAGUCCACGCUGUAAACGAUGAGUACUAGCUGUUGGAAGGCUAAGACCUUUCAGUAGCGGAGCUAACGCAUUAAGUACUCCGCCUGGGGAAUACGGCCGCAAGGCUA
RNAcentral lists this ribosomal RNA (374 nucleotides) under uncultured bacterium. RNAcentral's name for it is "bacterial SSU rRNA". It matches the Rfam family "Bacterial small subunit ribosomal RNA", at positions 524 to 896 of the family's 1533-position model. The record is from RNAcentral.